CCAGCAGCUGCGGUAAUUCCAGCUCCAAUAGCGUAUAUAAAAGUUGUUACAGUUAAAAGGCUCGUAGUCGAACUUUUGGUUCUUUUAAACUGUCCCUCUUUUUUGGAUUGAACGUGGUAGUGUCAAAAACCUUUCUGAUUGAGAGCGUUUCUGCCCUUUACUGGGUUGGUUGCGUAAUCCAUCUCUUUUACUGUGAAAAAAACAAAGUGCUCAAAGUAGGCAUUUUUGCUUGAACGCGGUAGCAUGGAAUAAUAAGAUAGGACUUUGCUUCUAUUUUGUUGGCUGUGAGAAACAAAGUAAUGAUAAAUAGGUAUAGUUGGGGUGCUCGUAUUUAACGGUCAGCGGUGAAAUGCAUGAACCCGAUAAAGACGAACUUAUGUGAAAGCAUUCACCAAGGAUAUCUUCUUUGAUCAAG
This 415-nucleotide ribosomal RNA is filed under the name uncultured eukaryote. Its description in RNAcentral is "SSU rRNA". It matches the Rfam family "Eukaryotic small subunit ribosomal RNA", at positions 567 to 981 of the family's 1831-position model. The record is from RNAcentral.